This 700-nucleotide ribosomal RNA is filed under the name Tricholoma scalpturatum. Its description in RNAcentral is "eukaryotic LSU rRNA". The stretch from base 291 to 444 matches the Rfam family "5.8S ribosomal RNA". The record is from RNAcentral. Lineage: Eukaryota; Fungi; Basidiomycota; Agaricomycetes; Agaricales; Tricholomataceae.
GAAGUAAAAGUCGUAACAAGGUUUCCGUAGGUGAACUGCGGAAGGAUCAUUAUUGAAUAAGCUGGUUGGGUUGUUGCUGGCUCUCCGGGGCAUGUGCACACCUGACACCAACUUUUUACCACCUGUGCACUUCUGUAGACCUGGAUAAACUCUCGAGGAAACUCGGUUUGAGGACUGCUGUGUGUAAAAGCCAGCUUUCCUUCUAACUUCCGGUCUAUGUCUUUAUAUAUACCCCUACAGUAUGUCUAAGAAUGUUUGUUGUUGGGCUUCAAUGCCUUUAAACUUAAUACAACUUUCAACAACGGAUCUCUUGGCUCUCGCAUCGAUGAAGAACGCAGCGAAAUGCGAUAAGUAAUGUGAAUUGCAGAAUUCAGUGAAUCAUCGAAUCUUUGAACGCACCUUGCGCUCCUUGGUAUUCCGAGGAGCAUGCCUGUUUGAGUGUCAUGAAAUUCUCAACCUUUUCAGCUUUCUUUGUUGAUCAGGCUUGGAUGUGGGAGUAUGCGGGCUUCUCAGAAGUCGGCUCUCCUGAAAUGCAUUAGCGGGACCUUUGUUGCCUGGCUUUGGUGUGAUAAUUAUCUACGCCAUGGUAGUCAAGCAGCUUAAAAUGAGGUUUCAGCUUCUAACCGUCUCCCCUGGGACAACUUUUUGACACUUUGACCUCAAAUCAGUAGGACUACCCGCUGAACUUAAGCAUAUCAUA